RNAcentral lists this ribosomal RNA (365 nucleotides) under uncultured eukaryote. Its description in RNAcentral is "partial 18S ribosomal RNA". It matches the Rfam family "Eukaryotic small subunit ribosomal RNA", at positions 592 to 975 of the family's 1831-position model. The record is from RNAcentral.
CAAUAGCGUAUAUUAACGUUGUUGCAGUUAAAAAGCUCGUAGUUGGAUUUCUGGAGGGAGCGUCGGCCCGUAUUUACGAGUGCGUGACGUCUCUGUCCAUCCUUGCGGGAAGGCACGGCAUUGAUUUGUUGUGUCGGAUCGCAUCAUUUACUGUGAAAAAAUUAGAGUGUUCAAAGCAGGCUUUCGCUUGAAUACAUUAGCAUGGAAUAAUAAGAUAGGACUUUGGUGCUAUUUUGUUGGUUGAGCCUAAAGUAAUGAUUAAUAGGGAUAGUUGGGGGCAUCUGUAUUGCGUUGUCAGAGGUGAAAUUCUUGGAUUUACGCAAGACAAACAGCUGCGAAAGCGUCUGCCAAGGAUGUUUUCAUUA